RNAcentral lists this non-coding RNA (231 nucleotides) under Acetomicrobium mobile. RNAcentral describes it as "T-box sequence". It matches the Rfam family "T-box leader". From Rfam's summary of the family: Uncharged tRNA acts as the effector for transcription antitermination of genes in the T-box leader family. T-boxes are found upstream of many aminoacyl-tRNA synthetase genes and some amino acid biosynthetic genes usually in Gram-positive bacteria. Lineage: Bacteria; Thermotogati; Synergistota; Synergistia; Synergistales; Acetomicrobiaceae. The record is from RNAcentral.
AACUUUGCGAUGAAGGGGAAGAGUAGCUCGUCUUAGGCGAUCUUCAGAGAGGAGAUUAUGCGGUGCGAGAUUUCCGUUCGCGGAUGAGCGAAGACCACCCCUGAGCAGCUGUCGAAGCCGUCCUUUUUCGGAUAAGAUAGCGGGGAUUCGCCCCUUAUAGCGAAAAGAGUUCCGAAGCUGAAAUCUUCGGAAAUGGAGUGGAACCGCGGGAGCCCUCCUCUCGCCUCCAAU